GUUGUGUGUCGUUAGUCAUUCAAUAAUUUGUUUGAGAGUUGAUUUUUGGAUAGGAAAGAAGAGAAAUAAAAAGUUUGAGAGUCAUCUAACAAAUAUAUUUCAUGGUUCUCAAACAUUUGCAUUUUCUCUCUUAACCUCAACAAACCAACUCGCAAAUAAAUCAUAGAGAGUACAAAGAAAUGAAAAUUUUACAACUUAAAUAAAGAGCAAAUAUAAAAUAAAGUUUAUUGUUACAUAUACCGAGAAUGAUACACUUGCAACUAAUUGAACUUAACUUUGUGAGCAGAAGAGAAAUGCUUUGCUGCAGCAACCAUGGUAGCCUCUGGCCCACUUGCUACUGAAGCUUUGGUACUUGUCUUCACACCUUUACCACAGAAUAAAGAAGUAAAUGAUCUUAAUAUAUCUGAAAACCAGCUUUUCUUAUUGCCCUUGUCACCCAUUUUGUUAACAAAGCCUAUGAUGUUAAGCUCAAAUAGAACCAAUGUGUAUGCUAUUAGUGAUGCGUACUCACUUACAAUUUGUGCUUAAUCUUCUGGGGUUUAGAUAUGCU
This 550-nucleotide long non-coding RNA is filed under the name Lupinus angustifolius (narrow-leaved blue lupine). Its description in RNAcentral is "long non-coding RNA (LANG_LNC000319)". Lineage: Eukaryota; Viridiplantae; Streptophyta; Magnoliopsida; Fabales; Fabaceae. The record is from RNAcentral.